RNAcentral lists this transfer RNA (72 nucleotides) under Anaerolineae bacterium. RNAcentral describes it as "tRNA-Ile". It matches the Rfam family "tRNA". Rfam says of the family: Transfer RNA (tRNA) molecules are approximately 80 nucleotides in length. Their secondary structure includes four short double-helical elements and three loops (D, anti-codon, and T loops). Lineage: Bacteria; Bacillati; Chloroflexota; Anaerolineae. RNAcentral also lists the same sequence under 1 other name. The record is from RNAcentral.
GGGCCUGUAGCUCAACGGCAGAGCGGUCGGCUCAUAACCGAUUGGUUCAAGGUUCGAAUCCUUGCGGGCCCA